RNAcentral lists this ribosomal RNA (253 nucleotides) under uncultured bacterium. Its description in RNAcentral is "partial 16S ribosomal RNA". It matches the Rfam family "Bacterial small subunit ribosomal RNA", at positions 524 to 776 of the family's 1533-position model. The record is from RNAcentral.
UACGUAGGGGGCAAGCGUUGUCCGGAAUCAUUGGGCGUAAAGAGCGUGUAGGCGGCUCGGUAAGUCCGCUGUGAAAGUCCAGGGCUCAACCCUGGAAUGCCGGUGGAAACUGUCGAGCUAGAGUCCGGAAGAGGCGAGUGGAAUUCCUGGUGUAGCGGUGAAAUGCGUAGAGAUCGGGAGGAACACCAGAGGCGAAGGCGGCGACCUGGACAAGUACUGACACUCAACUACGAAAGCGUGGGGAGCAAACAGG